GGGGGCGUUUGGUUUCGACGGGGGUGGCAGAGGUAAGAGCUGCAGGUCGAGCUUUCCGACUCGUAAAACCGGAAGCGUAAAUAUAAACGCCAAUAACGAAUACGCAUACGCUGCUUAAUUAAAAGCGGCGCAUCCUACCCGGUGGUUCCCGGCUGCUGGGAUCUAGGGUGUCAUAAUUCCGGGAUCUUCCUGCAGUGUUGCUUUGGCACUGUAGGAGAAACUCACAAAGCUGGCCUGCUUUAAUCCAGCCCUCAGGAGUAAAGCAGGUGAGAUGCAAAAUGAGGGAUAAACCUGUAGACGCUUUUAUCGAUGUACCUUCGGACAGGGGUUCGAUUCCCCUCGCCUCCACCA
RNAcentral lists this transfer-messenger RNA (351 nucleotides) under Tepidanaerobacter sp. It matches the Rfam family "transfer-messenger RNA". From Rfam's summary of the family: Bacterial tmRNA, also known as 10Sa RNA or SsrA, is named for its dual tRNA and mRNA-like properties. RNAcentral also lists the same sequence under 2 other names. The record is from RNAcentral. Lineage: Bacteria; Bacillati; Bacillota; Clostridia; Thermosediminibacterales; Tepidanaerobacteraceae.